This 504-nucleotide ribosomal RNA is filed under the name uncultured bacterium. RNAcentral's name for it is "bacterial SSU rRNA". It matches the Rfam family "Bacterial small subunit ribosomal RNA", at positions 29 to 524 of the family's 1533-position model. The record is from RNAcentral.
AAUGAACGCUGGCGGCGCGCCUAAUACAUGCAAGUCGAGCGAGAAGACGUAGCAAUACGUUUGUAAAGCGGCGAACGGGUGAGGAAUACAUGGGUAACCUACCCUCGAGUGGGGAAUAACUAGCCGAAAGGUUAGCUAAUACCGCGUACGCUUCUUGGACUUCGGUUCAGGGAGGAAAGCGAUACCGUGGGUAUCGCGCUCUUGGAUGGGCUCAUGUCCUAUCAGCUUGUUGGGAGGUAACGGCUCACCAAGGCUUCGACGGGUAGCUGGUCUGAGAGGACGAUCAGCCACACUGGCACUGCGACACGGGCCAGACUCCUACGGGAGGCAGCAGUAAGGAAUAUUGCGCAAUGGGCGAAAGCCUGACGCAGCGACGCCGCGUGGGGGAUGAAGGUCUUCGGAUUGUAAACCCCUUUCGGGUAGGGAAGAUGGAAUGGGGUAACCCAUUCGGACGGUACCUCCAGAAGCAGCCACGGCUAACUUCGUGCCAGCAGCCGCAGUAAC